AUUGAACGCUGGCGGCAGGCCUAACACAUGCAAGUCGAACGGUAGCACAGAGAGCUUGCUCUCGGGUGACGAGUGGCGGACGGGUGAGUAACGUCUGGGAAACUGCCCGAUGGAGGGGGAUAACUACUGGAAACGGUAGCUAAUACCGCAUAACGUCGCAAGACCAAAGUGGGGGACCUUCGGGCCUCACACCAUCGGAUGUGCCCAGAUGGGAUUAGCUAGUAGGUGGGGUAAUGGCUCACCUAGGCGACGAUCCCUAGCUGGCCUGAGAGGAUGACCAGCCACACUGGAACUGAGACACGGUCCAGACUCCUACGGGAGGCAGCAGUGGGGAAUAUUGCACAAUGGGCGCAAGCCUGAUGCAGCCAUGCCGCGUGUAUGAAGAAGGCCUUCGGGUUGUAAAGUACUUUCAGCGGGGAGGAAGGCGGUGAAGUUAAUAACUUCACCGAUUGACGUUACCCGCAGAAGAAGCACCGGCUAACUCCGUGCCAGCAGCCGCAGUAA
Molecule: ribosomal RNA, 504 nt
Filed under: uncultured bacterium
Lineage: Bacteria
Description: partial 16S ribosomal RNA
Rfam family: Bacterial small subunit ribosomal RNA
Source: RNAcentral